RNAcentral lists this ribosomal RNA (256 nucleotides) under uncultured Pseudomonas sp. RNAcentral's name for it is "partial 16S ribosomal RNA". It matches the Rfam family "Bacterial small subunit ribosomal RNA", at positions 96 to 355 of the family's 1533-position model. The record is from RNAcentral. Lineage: Bacteria; Pseudomonadati; Pseudomonadota; Gammaproteobacteria; Pseudomonadales; Pseudomonadaceae.
CGGCGGACGGGUGAGUAAUGCCUAGGAAUCUGCCUGGUAGUGGGGGACGAACGUUUCGAAAGGAACGCUAUACCGCAUACGUCCUACGGGAGAAAGCAGGGACCUUCGGGCCUUGCGCUAUCAGAUGAGCCUAGGUCGGAUUAGCUAGUUGGUGAGGUAAUGGCUCACCAAGGCGACGAUCCGUAACUGGUCUGAGAGGAUGAUCAGUCACACUGGAACUGAGACACGGUCCAGACUCCUACGGGAGGCAGCAGCU